This 497-nucleotide ribosomal RNA is filed under the name uncultured bacterium. RNAcentral describes it as "partial 16S ribosomal RNA". It matches the Rfam family "Bacterial small subunit ribosomal RNA", at positions 28 to 507 of the family's 1533-position model. The record is from RNAcentral.
GAUGAACGCUGGCGGCGUGCCUAAUACAUGCCAGUCGAGCGAACGGACGAGAAGCUUGCUUCUCUGAUGUUAGCGGCGGACGGGUGAGUAACACGUGGAUAACCUACCUAUAAGACUGGGAUAACUUCGGGAAACCGGAGCUAAUACCGGAUGAUAUUUUGAACCGCAUGGUUCAAAAGUGAAAGACGGUCUUGCUGUCACUUAUAGAUGGAUCCGCGCUGCAUUAGCUAGUUGGUAAGGUAACGGCUUACCAAGGCAACGAUGCAUAGCCGACCUGAGAGGGUGAUCGGCCACACUGAAACUGAGACACGGUCCAGACUCCUACGGGAGGCAGCAGUAGGGAAUCUUCCACAAUGGGCGAAAGCCUGACGGAGCAACGCCGCGUGAGUGAUGAAGGUCUUCGGAUCGUAAAACUCUGUUAUUAGGGAAGAACAUAUGUGUAAGUAACUGUGCACAUCUUGACGGUACCUAAUCAGAAAGCCACGGCUAACUACGUG